CCUACGGGAGGCAGCAGUGAGGAAUAUUGGUCAAUGGGCUUACGCCUGAACCAGCCAAGUCGCGUGAGGGAAGACUGCCCUAUGGGUUGUAAACCUCUUUUGUCAGGUAGCAAUUGGCGCUACGUGUAGCCGGACUGAGAGUACCUGAAGAAAAAGCAUCGGCUAACUCCGUGCCAGCAGCCGCGGUAAUACGGAGGAUGCGAGCGUUAUCCGGAUUUAUUGGGUUUAAAGGGUGCGUAGGCGGAAUGCCAAGUCAGCGGUAAAAUCCCCGCGCUCAACGUGGGAACUGCCUUUGAAACUGGCAAACUGGAGUGUGUGAGAGGAUAGUGGAAGUCCAGGUGUAGGAGUGAAAUCCGUAGAUAUCUGGAGGAACAUCAGUGGCGAAGGCGACUAUCUGGCACAUAACUGACGCUGAGGAGCGAAAGCGUGGGUAGCAAACAGGAUUAGAUACCCUUGUAGUC
RNAcentral lists this ribosomal RNA (461 nucleotides) under uncultured bacterium. RNAcentral's name for it is "partial 16S ribosomal RNA". It matches the Rfam family "Bacterial small subunit ribosomal RNA", at positions 338 to 795 of the family's 1533-position model. The record is from RNAcentral.